This 1441-nucleotide ribosomal RNA is filed under the name uncultured organism. RNAcentral describes it as "16S ribosomal RNA". It matches the Rfam family "Bacterial small subunit ribosomal RNA". The record is from RNAcentral.
GCUGUCGGCGUGCUUAACACAUGCAAGUCGAACGGAAAGGCCCUGCUUUUGUGGGGUGCUCGAGUGGCGAACGGGUGAGUAACACGUGAGUAACCUGCCCUUGACUUUGGGAUAACUUCAGGAAACUGGGGCUAAUACCGGAUAGGAGCUCCUGCUGCAUGGUGGGGGUUGGAAAGUUUCGGCGGUUGGGGAUGGACUCGCGGCUUAUCAGCUUGUUGGUGGGGUAGUGGCUUACCAAGGCUUUGACGGGUAGCCGGCCUGAGAGGGUGACCGGCCACAUUGGGACUGAGAUACGGCCCAGACUCCCACGGGAGGCAGCAGUGGGGAAUAUUGCACAAUGGGCGGAAGCCUGAUGCAGCAACGCCGCGUGCGGGAUGACGGCCUUCGGGUUGUAAACCGCUUUCGCCUGUGACGAAGCGUGAGUGACGGUAAUGGGUAAAGAAGCACCGGCUAACUACGUGCCAGCAGCCGCGGUGAUACGUAGGGUGCGAGCGUUGUCCGGAUUUAUUGGGCGUAAAGGGCUCGUAGGUGGUUGAUCGCGUCGGAAGUGUAAUCUUGGGGCUUAACCCUGAGCGUGCUUUCGAUACGGGUUGACUUGAGGAAGGUAGGGGAGAAUGGAAUUCCUGGUGGAGCGGUGGAAUGCGCAGAUAUCAGGAGGAACACCAGUGGCGAAGGCGGUUCUCUGGGCCUUUCCUGACGCUGAGGAGCGAAAGCGUGGGGAGCGAACAGGCUUAGAUACCCUGGUAGUCCACGCUGUAAACGGUGGGCACUAGGUGUGGGGUCCAUUCCACGGGUUCCGUGCCGUAGCUAACGCUUUAAGUACCCCGCCUGGGGAGUACGGCCGCAAGGCUAAAACUCAAAGGAAUUGACGGGGCCCCGCACAAGCGGCGGAGCAUGCGGAUUAAUUCGAUGCAACGCGUAGAACCUUACCUGGGUUUGACAUGGAUCGGGAGUGCUCAGAGAUGGGUGUGCCUCUUUUGGGGUCGGUUCACAGGUGGUGCAUGCCUGUCGUCAGCUCGUGUCGUGAGAUGUUGGGUUAAGUCCCGCAACGAGCGCAACCCUUGUUCACUGUUGCCAGCACGUUAUGGUGGGGACUCAGUGGAGACCGCCGGGGUCAACUCGGAGGAAGGUGGGGAUGACGUCAAGUCCUCAUGCCCCUUAUGUCCAGGGCUUCACGCAUGCUACAAUGGCUGGUACAGAGAGUGGCGAGCCUGUGAGGGUGAGCGAAUCUCGGAAAGCCGGUCUCAGUUCGGAUUGGGGUCUGCAACUCGACCUCAUGAAGUCGGAGUCGCUAGUAAUCGCAGAUCAGCAACGCUGCGGUGAAUACGUUCCCGGGGCUUGUACACACCGCCCGUCAAGUCAUGAAAGUUGGUAACACCCGAAGCCGGUGGCCUAACCGUUGUGGGGGAGCCGUCGAAGGUGGGACUGGUGAUUAGGACUA